UAAAAAAAAUUAAGGAUAAACUAGGAUUAGAUACCCUAUUAUUUUAAAAAAUAAAUAAAAAUACUAGAUUAUUAAUAGUUAGUUACUUUAAAUUUAAAAAAUUUGGCGGUAGUUUAGUUCUGCUCAGAGGAACCUGUUUUUUAAUCGAUACUCCACGUAAAAUUUUACUUGUUUUCAUAUAGUUUGUAUACCAUCAUUUUUAGAUAAUUUUAAGAGGAUAAAUUAUUGAAAUAAAUUUAAUUGAGGAAAUUAGAUCAAGGUGCAGCUUAUAAAUAAGUUAAAAUGGGUUACAAUAGAUUAUAUUUAGACGGAAUAGAAGAUUAGGAAGGACUAUAAAAUAGGAAGGUGGAUUUGAUUGUAAUUUGAGAUUUAAUAAGAUUAGGAGAAAUAGGCUCUAAAUUAUGUACAUAUCGCCCGUCACUU
This 423-nucleotide ribosomal RNA is filed under the name Louisea balssi. RNAcentral describes it as "partial small subunit ribosomal RNA". The record is from RNAcentral. Lineage: Eukaryota; Metazoa; Arthropoda; Malacostraca; Decapoda; Potamonautidae.